CAGCGUUUGGCGGGAUGGCGGCGACCGAGUUCCCCCUGAGCUCCCCGCUCCAUGGCGGCCCGUCAGCGCUAGGUGGUAGCAAAGUGUCGGCGUGAGGGGAGGUUUUCCUGAGGAAUGGGUAAAAGUCGUGACCUCGCCUGGACCUUUGUGAUCUCUGCCAGGCUCUUCCCAAGAACAGGAACUUCUCUGCCUCGUACUGGGGAAACAAGAGCAGUAUCACCUGACUCACAGGCUGUGCUGGGCGAAAAACAGUCCUUCAUAAGGACCCAGCUUCAUUUUUGUUUUCAGCUCUUGCUAGAAAAGACUUUCUUCACUGACCUCACCACACCAUGCAAAGAAAUGGGCAUGGAGGUCCUGUGUCUGUUCUCACUUAGGCUCUUCAAAGAAAUCUCAACUGCCUCGUAGCCACUUUAAAUAGGAAGAUGUUGGAGAAACGGCUUUUUUUUGUUAUUUUUUCUUUCAAGUACUGUACUUGGUGCAAUGACUCCUGGCGGCCUUUUGGGUCGCCAGGUGGGAUCUCCCAUUUCCAAACUGGAGUACAGUCUAAGUCUGUUUUCCUCUUGUGCUUCUCAGCCUGGUUUCCUGUCGCUGCUGCUCUCAAGCUGGUGCUGUAUUCUCUUUUUGUUCCAUAUACAUCACCGCUGCAGAGUUCACUGAGGCUUUUUCCCAUGGAGACACUUGUGUAGAUCCCUGCUAGAGCUGCUGGACCUCAUGUGAGCUUGUAUGCCAGACAUCUUGGGGCACAUCCCACGGCCUGAGCUGCUUUGCGAUGCUUUGCCAGUGAAUUACACAAGUUGGCUGUCUCUGUGGGCACUGAGGGGAUUGUGGAUGACACAGGAGGACUCCCAACCACCUGAAUGAUGCAGACUGUGCCCUACCCGCAAAGUGAGUGGUUUACCACUGAUGUUAACAUGAUCCCUCGCUGUAACCUACAGCCCCUGCCAAAUCAGAGAGACUGAAGGAAGCACCACAGCAUUUAAAGGGAAAGCCUUUAAUAUGUGGCAGAAAGGAGGCUCAGGGAAAAUGCUUCAAGAAAAACCUUCUGUACUGAAGACAGAAUUUCUUUCCCAUGUUAAACAAGGCAACUCCAGCUUUUCAGUCAUGUUAGUGAGAAGGAAAUCAAAUCCCACAGUGGAUUACAGCACUGCACAUGGCUCUGUUGGAGAGCUGGCACUAGUUAUUAUUUAAGAGAAUGUAAAUUAUGUGUCCUUAUUUGUCUUUUCUGCAAUUAGGGAAAUACCCAGUCAAUGUAAUGAAUAGCAGUUUUUAAGGGUAAGGGUACUGAAUGCACAGCAGCUGUAACUCAUUGCCUUAUCAUAUCCCAGAGUGAGAGAGCUGGGAGAAAACUGAACCUUCCCACAUCUUAGGAAGAGUCACAGUACACGCAUGAAUUCUCAACAUUUAAAGACUAGAAAUCAUGAUUCAGAGAAAAUGCCAACUGCUGAUGGACAGGGAUUAGGAGAAGACUCUGCUCUGUGAGCAGAUUAUUCUGCGCUGUGUCACUUGAGAGUUUCAAGGUUUUUUGGCGUGAGAGACAUUGACCAUUGCCAAGACCAGACACGGGACAUGAUGCACCACGGAUCUGACGCGAAGGGAGAGCAUCCAGCAGGAGACUCUGCCCACUGGGGUGCUUGGUCAAGUGCCGUGUGAACUCCAGCUCCAAAGCAGUGAUGAGGUAAAUCAGUGUGUCUCCCUCUCCCAGGCUUUGUUCUUUCAUUUUUCUAGUUGCCCUGGAUGCUUGGAAGGGGGAGUUCAUCUCAACCAACACGAUGGCCUAAGAGUUAUUGAAGUCUGAGCUGGUCACCUCUCAAGCAAUCAGCUGAAAUAGGAACAUGCAGAUGGCAAUUGUCUCACAUAUCUUAGGAUCUGUUGUUUAUGCAAGAGACCAGACUGACUAACUGUGAUUAAGAAAGCUAACUUUUCAGCAUUUAAAGGGAGGUGGGGCAAAUCCCAUCCAAAACAUUCAUCAGCAUCAUUCUCUGGUAUUGCAAAUCAUCGCAGAAUCACAGAAUGGUUUGGGUUGGAAGGGACCUUAAAGCUCAUCCAGCUCCAACCCCCUGCUAGGGGCAGGGACACCUUCCACUAGAGCAGGUUGCUCCAAGCCCCGUCCAACCUGGGCUUGAACACUGCCAGGGAUGGGGCAGCCACAGCUUCUCUGGGCACCCUGUGCCAGGGCCUCGCCACCCUCACAGUAAAUCUCCCAAGCUUUUUCCCCCAGGGAACCAAGUUAAACUGAUUGCUUCACAGGUGUUUCUGUGGCUUCUUAAGUCCGAACUGUUGUUUCUGCCUUUUUUUUUUUGUAUCCAUUAGGUAGUGUGUAGCUUCUUGUGGCAGCAGUUCAGCACUAGGUCUGUGUUACAAACAGCAAAUGGCUACAGAAGGAAAUUAUGGGAUCCUGCAGCAAAGGUUUUUAUUUUUUCAGCAAUGAGCAUAUUCACUGGAAACAUAAAGUUCCCAGGGAUUUGUAUUUAUGAUGCUGUAAAGUAAGUAACAGUAAUGUCCAGGAAUGUACCAAGCCAAGUAGUCUCUAUCGUUGACGUAACAGCACACCUACAUAACGUCUUGAUGUAACUCCUACCAAUUAUGUUAUUAGAAUAAAAAUGUACUUCCAACA
Molecule: long non-coding RNA, 2614 nt
Filed under: Strigops habroptila (Kakapo)
Lineage: Eukaryota; Metazoa; Chordata; Aves; Psittaciformes; Psittacidae
Description: lncRNA (ENSSHBG00005010176.1)
Source: RNAcentral